GAUGAACGCUGACAGAAUGCUUAACACAUGCAAGUCGAUGGGGAAGUGGUGCUUGCCCCAUGGCAACCAUGGCGGACGGGUGAGUAACGCGUAAGGGACUUACCUGCAGGACUGGGAUAACAGGGGGAAACUCCUGACAAGACCGGAUAAUGUCAUGGAGCUGCAUGGCUUUAUGAUGAAAGGAGACGCCUGCGGAGAGCCUUGCGUCCUAUUAGCUAGUUGGUGAGGUAAUGGCUCACCAAGGCGAAGAUAGGUAGCCGGCCUGAGAGGGUGGACGGCCACAAGGGGACUGAGAUACGGCCCUUACUCCUACGGGAGGCAGCAGUGGGGAAUAUUGGACAAUGGGGGCAACCCUGAUCCAGCAAUUCUGUGUGCACGAAGAAGGUUUUCGGAUUGUAAAGUGCUUUCAGCAGGGAAGAAGUAAGUGACGGUACCUGCAGAAGAAGCGACGGCUAAAUACGUG
RNAcentral lists this ribosomal RNA (463 nucleotides) under uncultured bacterium. Its description in RNAcentral is "partial 16S ribosomal RNA". It matches the Rfam family "Bacterial small subunit ribosomal RNA", at positions 28 to 507 of the family's 1533-position model. The record is from RNAcentral.